UUAUGUUGUUUAAUUCGACGCAACGCGAAGAACCUUACCAGGCCUUGACAUACUCGGCAAAGCUCGUAGAGAUAGAGUGGAGGUUAUCCGGGAUACAGGUGGUGCAUGGUUGUCGUCAGCUCGUGUCGUGAGAUGUUGGGUUAAGUUCCGCAACGAGCGCAACCCUUGUCACUAGUUGCCAUCAUUAUUGGGCACUCUAAGGAGACUGCCGGUGACAAACCGGAGGAAGGUGGGGAUGACGUCAAGUCAUCAUGGCCCUUACGGCCAGGGCUACACACGUGCUACAAUGGUCGGUACAGAGGGUUGCCAAGCCGCGAGGUGGAGCUAAUCUCACAAAACCGAUCGUAGUCCGGAUCGCAGUCUGCAACUCGACUGCGUGAAGUCGGAAUCGCUAGUAAUCGUGAAUCAGAAUGUCACGGUGAAUUACCGGUUCCCGGGCCUU
RNAcentral lists this ribosomal RNA (442 nucleotides) under uncultured Pseudomonas sp. RNAcentral's name for it is "bacterial SSU rRNA". It matches the Rfam family "Bacterial small subunit ribosomal RNA", at positions 937 to 1382 of the family's 1533-position model. The record is from RNAcentral. Lineage: Bacteria; Pseudomonadati; Pseudomonadota; Gammaproteobacteria; Pseudomonadales; Pseudomonadaceae.